AGAGUUUGAUCAUGGCUCAGAUUGAACGCUGGCGGCAGGCCUAACACAUGCAAGUCGAACGGUAACAGGAUAGCUUGCUAUCGCUGACGAGUGGCGGACGGGUGAGUAAUACUUAGGGAUCUGCCUCUGUGUGGGGGAUAACUAUUGGAAACGAUAGCUAAUACCGCAUAAUGUCUACGGACCAAAGCGGGCUUCGGCUCGUGCGCAGAGAGGAACCUAAGCGAGAUUAGCUAGUUGGUGAGGUAAAGGCUCACCAAGGCGACAAUCUCUAGCUGUUCUGAGAGGAAGAUCAGCCACACUGGAACUGAGACACGGUCCAAAC
This 322-nucleotide ribosomal RNA is filed under the name uncultured gamma proteobacterium SUR-ATT-16. Its description in RNAcentral is "bacterial SSU rRNA". It matches the Rfam family "Bacterial small subunit ribosomal RNA", at positions 8 to 336 of the family's 1533-position model. Lineage: Bacteria; Pseudomonadati; Pseudomonadota; Gammaproteobacteria. The record is from RNAcentral.